GUUUGUACGAAAUCCUUUGUUAUUAAUAAUAAAAUGUAAAUAAAGUGAUUAAGUUGAUUUGGUAAAAUAGAAGAGUAAAGAAAGAAACUGCGUUCAAUUACUCGAAAAAUUUCUUUUUUCUUUAGUUUUUUAGUAGAUGGAAGGGUAAAGUAUAAGUGAAAGAAGCCAUAAAAACGCUUUCUGCAACCCUUACCGAAAUAGUAAAAGUAGAGCAGAUAAUAGAAUUUUACGCGAUGGAACGCGGGCUAUUGAUGAGCUGUAGACAAAUCAAUAUACAUUAAUAAACUUUGAAAUUAGAUGAUGGAUGCUGUUUGUUGCACAGAACACGACAGCAGCAAAAAGGGGCAAUGAAGGAGGAUGAAGAGAGAAGAUGAAGUACAUUUACCCUCUCGUCCUAAUCGGGCAACUUCUAACUUACUUUCGUGACGGAGUGACCCUUUCGGACGAGAAGAAAUUAAUUAAAGAUUUAUUAAAAAAGUACUCGGAAGCCGGUAAAGUGGGUCGACCCGUCCAAAACACAAGUCAUACAAUAUCGGUGACAUAUGGAUUAGCGUUAAUUCAGUUAUUGGAUUUGGACGAGAAGAAUCAGAUCUUAACGACAAAUUGCUGGUCUAGAUACACAUGGUACGACAUAUUUCUUAAAUGGGAUCCAAAGGAGUAUAACGGCGUUGAAACAGUACGAAUUCCUUCAUCUGAUAUAUGGACACCUGAUAUAGUCUUAUACAACUACGCUGAUACCCGUCUGCGAGAACACCGUGACGCCUUUGUUGUCGUUUCUAGCACAGGUGGAAUCCUUUGGAUACCGCCCGCUAUUUAUAAAUCGUCCUGUGUAAUAGACAUAACCUACUUCCCAUUCGAUAGACAAACUUGUUGGAUGAAAUUCGGAAGUUGGACAUAUGACGGUUGGAAAUUAAAUAUAUCGUUCUAUAGUGAUUUGGAUGAAAUCGAUUUGAACGAUUAUAUACCGUCCAAUGAAUGGGAUGUUUUGAGCCACCGUGCCAAAAGAAAUGUUCGUUAUUAUCCGUGUUGUAAAGAACCGUAUCCGGAUUUAACGUUCAUUAUGGAACUUCAAAGAAAAGUGGCGUUUUAUAAUUACAUUCUAAUUUUACCCUGCGUACUGUUAUCAACACUUACUCUCGUCCUAUUUUGGUUACCGCCAGAAUCCCCUGCUAAAAUGGUGCUGGGUAUGAACAUAUUCGUUGCAUUCUUCGUCCUGCUUUUACUGUUAGCAGAAUCUACUCCUCCAGCUGCUUCUUCCAUUCCACUUAUAGGUGCAUACUACUGCCUCAACAUGAUAAUGAUAACACUAUCAACUUUCCUCUCUGUUAUCGUUAUAAAUCUAUACUUCCGAGGUGAUAAACGAAACCGCGUACCGCAAUGGUUAAAAAGGUUAAUGAUCGACAUAUUAGCGCGAAUCAUGUGUAUGCGUGGUGAAUUAGUAUCGGAAGAUGCACCGAAGAACCAGUCUAAGACUCCAGAAACGGUUCAUACUGUUAAAAUUGAUAAAAAAACUAAACGAAAAGUUAAGUGUCCUGAAAUGAAAUAUAACAAAUUUCAAAUGUAUGAACUGAAAGAAGGAUGCCCAAGUGGACUGUUGUCGAAUCAUAAUUCAACAUCAGCUCCAUCUAGAGGACAUUAUCAAGAGCAAGAUAGAUCUUGUUUUCAAGGACAAUCUGGUGUGGAGGCUGAUGUUAAGGAAAUUCGAAAGUAUUUAAAACAGAUGCUAUAUCGAAUACAGCAAAAAGAGGAAAAAGGCAAAAUUGCAUUGGAAUGGAGGAUUGUCGCCAUGGUACUCGAUCGGUUCUUCUUUUUUAUGUACUUGAUCGCUAUCGUUAUUUCGUUGGUGACCAUUUUCCCGAAGACUGCUUAAAUGUACGAUUCUUUUAUAUUACACAUUCAGGCUGAUUCGAACUGUAUUUUUCUUUAAUAAUUAUUAACACUAUAGGCUUAAUUAUAUUGAAUAUUUGUUAUUCAGGUAAAUUACACACACUUAUACAUAUGUAAAUGUAAAAUAACUUUUUGUUGGAUCUUUGGUUCUUUUCUUGCUUUAUGUUUUAACUUAAUUCAGUUUUUUUAUAUAAACCUGCAGUAUCACUUGCAUGUGAUUUGACCAGUUUUUUUCUCAACAGUUUUAAAAUAGGAGUUUCGGCAAUAAAAUUUUUUAAAGACAUUCCAA
This 2176-nucleotide unclassified non-coding RNA is filed under the name Dimorphilus gyrociliatus. Its description in RNAcentral is "dgyrCDS7081". Lineage: Eukaryota; Metazoa; Annelida; Polychaeta; Dinophilidae. The record is from RNAcentral.